This 463-nucleotide ribosomal RNA is filed under the name Gordonia terrae. RNAcentral describes it as "bacterial SSU rRNA". It matches the Rfam family "Bacterial small subunit ribosomal RNA", at positions 159 to 636 of the family's 1533-position model. Lineage: Bacteria; Bacillati; Actinomycetota; Actinomycetes; Mycobacteriales; Gordoniaceae. The record is from RNAcentral.
GGGUCUAAUACCGGAUAUGACCAUGGGAUGCAUGUUCUGUGGUGGAAAGCUUUUGCGGUGUGGGAUGGGCCCGCGGCCUAUCAGCUUGUUGGUGGGGUAAUGGCCUACCAAGGCGACGACGGGUAGCCGACCUGAGAGGGUGAUCGGCCACACUGGGACUGAGACACGGCCCAGACUCCUACGGGAGGCAGCAGUGGGGAAUAUUGCACAAUGGGCGCAAGCCUGAUGCAGCGACGCCGCGUGAGGGAUGACGGCCUUCGGGUUGUAAACCUCUUUCACCAGGGACGAAGCGCAAGUGACGGUACCUGGAGAAGAAGCACCGGCCAACUACGUGCCAGCAGCCGCGGUAAUACGUAGGGUGCGAGCGUUGUCCGGAAUUACUGGGCGUAAAGAGCUCGUAGGCGGUUUGUCGCGUCGUCUGUGAAAUUCUGCAACUCAAUUGUAGGCGUGCAGGCGAUACGGG